Non-coding RNA from Capsicum annuum, 107 nucleotides. NCBI's taxonomy places the organism in Eukaryota, Viridiplantae, Streptophyta, Magnoliopsida, Solanales, Solanaceae. The record is from Rfam.
GCCUCAUGAUUAGGGAAUUGUUCUAAUGUUCCAUUAAGCCUCUCCCAUGCUUUAUAAAAUGGCUCCCCAUUUAAUUGACUAAAUUUUAUGAUCUCAUCCCUGAUAAU